This 427-nucleotide ribosomal RNA is filed under the name uncultured Rhodoferax sp. Its description in RNAcentral is "bacterial SSU rRNA". It matches the Rfam family "Bacterial small subunit ribosomal RNA", at positions 355 to 774 of the family's 1533-position model. Lineage: Bacteria; Pseudomonadati; Pseudomonadota; Betaproteobacteria; Burkholderiales; Comamonadaceae. The record is from RNAcentral.
UGGGGAAUUUUGGACAAUGGGCGCAAGCCUGAUCCAGCAAUGCCGCGUGCAGGAUGAAGGCCUUCGGGUUGUAAACUGCUUUUGUACGGAACGAAACGGUCCUUUCUAAUACAAGGGGCUAAUGACGGUACCGUAAGAAUAAGCACCGGCUAACUACGUGCCAGCAGCCGCGGUAAUACGUAGGGUGCGAGCGUUAAUCGGAAUUACCGGGCGUAAAGCGUGCGCAGGCGGUUAUAUAAGACAGAUGUGAAAUCCCCGGGCUCAACCUGGGACCUGCAUUUGUGACUGUAUAGCUAGAGUACGGUAGAGGGGGAUGGAAUUCCGCGUGUAGCAGUGAAAUGCGUAGAUAUGCGGAGGAACACCGAUGGCGAAGGCAAUCCCCUGGACCUGUACUGACGCUCAUGCACGAAAGCGUGGGGAGCAAACA